AGACGGGACCCGCACAAGCGGUGGAUGAUGUGGUUUAAUUCGAUGCAACGCGAAAAACCUUACCCACCUUUGACAUGGCAGGAAUCCUGAAGAGAUUUGGGAGUGCCCGAAAGAGAACCUGCACACAGGUGCUGCAUGGCUGUCGUCAGCUCGUGUCGUGAGAUGUUGGGUUAAGUCCCGCAACGAGCGCAACCCUUAUCAUUAGUUGCUACGCAAGGGCACUCUAAUGAGACUGCCGGUGACAAACCGGAGAAGUGGGGAUGACGUCAAGUCCUCAUGGCCCUUAUGGGUAGGGCUUCACACGUCAUACAAUGGUCGGUACAGAGGGUUGCCAAGCCGCGAGGUGGAGCCAAUCCCAGAAAGCCGAUCGUAGUCCGGAUUGUUCUCUGCAACUCGAGAGCAUGAAGUCGGAAUCGCUAGUAAUCGCGGAUCAGCAUGUCGCGGUGAAUACGUUCCCGGGUCUU
This 464-nucleotide ribosomal RNA is filed under the name uncultured Allobrachymonas sp. RNAcentral's name for it is "bacterial SSU rRNA". It matches the Rfam family "Bacterial small subunit ribosomal RNA", at positions 916 to 1381 of the family's 1533-position model. Lineage: Bacteria; Pseudomonadati; Pseudomonadota; Betaproteobacteria; Burkholderiales; Comamonadaceae. The record is from RNAcentral.